UACGGAGGGGGCUAGCGUUGUUCGGAAUUACUGGGCGUAAAGCGCACGUAGGCGGAUUGUUAAGUCAGGGGUGAAAUCCUGGAGCUCAACUCCAGAACUGCCUUUGAUACUGACGGUCUUGAGUUCGGGAGAGGUGAGUGGAACUGCGAGUGUAGAGGUGAAAUUCGUAGAUAUUCGCAAGAACACCAGUGGCGAAGGCGGCUCACUGGCCCGAUACUGACGCUGAGGUGCGAAAGCGUGGGGAGCAAACAGGG
Molecule: ribosomal RNA, 254 nt
Filed under: uncultured bacterium
Lineage: Bacteria
Description: partial 16S ribosomal RNA
Rfam family: Bacterial small subunit ribosomal RNA
Source: RNAcentral